Molecule: transfer RNA, 85 nt
Filed under: Bacteroidota bacterium
Lineage: Bacteria; Pseudomonadati; Bacteroidota
Also listed under: 1 other name
Description: tRNA-Leu
Rfam family: tRNA
About the family: Transfer RNA (tRNA) molecules are approximately 80 nucleotides in length.
Source: RNAcentral
GCGGGUAUGGUGGAAUUGGUAGACACGCUAGACUUAGGAUCUAGUGCCGCGAGGCAUGGGGGUUCGACUCCCUCUACCCGCACCA